Molecule: ribosomal RNA, 497 nt
Filed under: uncultured bacterium
Lineage: Bacteria
Description: partial 16S ribosomal RNA
Rfam family: Bacterial small subunit ribosomal RNA
Source: RNAcentral
GAUGAACGCUGGCGGCGUGCCUAAUACAUGCAAGUCGAGCGAACAGACGAGGAGCUUGCUCCUCUGACGUUAGCGGCGGACGGGUGAGUAACACGUGGAUAACCUACCUAUAAGACUGGGAUAACUUCGGGAAACCGGAGCUAAUACCGGAUAAUAUAUUGAACCGCAUGGUUCAAUAGUGAAAGACGGUUUUGCUGUCACUUAUAGAUGGAUCCGCGCCGCAUUAGCUAGUUGGUAAGGUAACGGCUUACCAAGGCAACGAUGCGUAGCCGACCUGAGAGGGUGAUGGACCACAGUGAAACGGAAACAGGACCCAGACUCCGAGGGGGGGAGGCAGUGGGGAAUCUGCGGCAAGGGGGGCAGGCCGGAGGAAGCAAUGCCGGGGGAGUGAGGAGGGUCUUCGGAUGUAAAAACUCUUUUAUGGGGAAAAAAAAACGGUGUAAUAAAAUCCCCCGGUCUUGACGGUACCUAAUAAAAAAGCCCCGGCUAACUCCGUG